This 205-nucleotide unclassified non-coding RNA is filed under the name Hevea brasiliensis (rubber tree). The record is from RNAcentral. Lineage: Eukaryota; Viridiplantae; Streptophyta; Magnoliopsida; Malpighiales; Euphorbiaceae.
AGAUGUAAAGCCAGAGAACUUUUUGCUUGGUCAGCCAUCAACUCUGCAGGAGAAGAAGUUGUUCCUUGUCGACUUGGGACUAGCAACAAAGUGGAGAGAGAAUGUGAAAGGUCCGCAUGUGGUAUAUGAUCAGCGACCUGACAUGUUUAGAGGGACUGUUCGGUAUGCAAGUGCUCAUGCACACUUGGGAAGGACUGCCAGUAGA